GCAGUGCAGCCUGCGUCCCGCCCCCGCCUGCGGCUUACCUAGGGUCGGAACAGGUUCCCUGCCGGCUUCACCUUGCCUGGCUACCAACAGCAACCUCGUUGGAUUCCCAGACUUUUGUCCUUCACAAAGGGCUGCGGCCCCCGAGUCCUGAGCUCUGGACUCCUGUGGCCUAGAUUCCUCAGACGUCAAGUCAGAACUAAGAUCAACCUCCAGACAGUAUGAACUAGCCUACUGGUCUAGCUCCAUGUAGCAUGCAGGGUUUAGCAGGAAGUAGUAGCCACAACAAUGUGCCUGUCUGGCCACCACCAGCCUCACUUCCAGCAGAUGAUGAUGUUGGGGUCGUUUUCAAGCCGCUCAUCCAGCUCACGGUAGCUCAUGCCUGGCAGAUCUCAUCAUAGCUGUGGCAGCCUGUGUAAAGUCGGGCAGGGUGGCUCCACUCUUCCCGAGAUACCCUCACGGGAUACUUCUGUAGUCGCCGAAUCAGGUUCUUCAUAAGCCCGAACUGGAUCAAUUUCCUAGAGGCUGGGCCAUACCAAUGGGCAGAGUACACUGGCCUGAGGCAUUCAGCUCCUCCAGCAAGAUGGUCAUGAUGGGCACCAACUUCUGUUUGCUCUCCUCCGUGGAAACGAAGCUGCUCUCUAGCUGGACAGAGUAUGGACGUGGUCUUAAUCAAGGGAUAUUCAUGGGCCACCCAUCGGCCACCCACAGCCCGAUUUCCUACCAACACUGCUUAUGUGCGCUGUCUCCUCCCACCCCGCCACACCAGGAACCCAGGACCUGGGUCUGAGUAUCCUCUCGGCUCUUGGUUGUUCGCGAAUGAAGGAGUGGCGUGCCCACGUGCAGCGCGGGGAUU
This is a non-coding RNA of Microcebus murinus (gray mouse lemur), 853 nucleotides long. The record is from RefSeq and is a predicted model, not a curated record. NCBI's taxonomy places the organism in Eukaryota, Metazoa, Chordata, Mammalia, Primates, Cheirogaleidae.